Molecule: long non-coding RNA, 1293 nt
Organism: Gigantopelta aegis
Lineage: Eukaryota; Metazoa; Mollusca; Gastropoda; Neomphalida; Peltospiridae
Exons: 2
Source: RefSeq, a predicted model, not a curated record
UGUCUUGUGAUUAAAAUUUGACCAAUCAAGAUUAUAAGAAGCGAUAUCUUCUAAGAGAAUAUUGCAGGAGAUAUCGCAAAUUAUAGUGCCAGCGAUAUGCCCUAUAAAAGCUUUUAAUGGAUGAUAAGUAUGAUUAUGUGCAUUUCAGUCAUAAAAAUGUUACAAUGACAACAAACUCAGAAUAGUUCCUCUAAGUUACAUACUAGACAUACAGGUUGGUGUGACAGUGAGGACAACAAACUCAGAAUAGUUCCUCUAAGUUACAUACUAGACAUACAGGUUGGUGUGACAGUGAAGGAUCGAAGAUCUUUACGUUCUUUUCCUCACAGUUUGUACCACUGUGUGGCUUGUUACAUUCUGUUUUCAGUGUUAUUUGUUUUAUUAUAGAUGACUAAAAUGCCAGGUGACAAUGCAAGUACAUGUUUUUACUAACAUACUCCCUCAGGUACAAUUUUGUGGGAGCCUGUCUUGGCCCCCCCUCCCCAAUAAAAUUUGAUCGCCAGUCUAAGACCCCCCAUGCCUCUAAAUUCUUCCUGCAUACACGCCUGCCCCUUCAGUUCCAAUAGGUCAGGCUUGAAUAGUGUACCUCUAUCACGAGAUAUAUAGGCUAAGAGGCCUCUGAUAAUUGAAUAUUUGCAUAAACCAUUUAUGGGAAACGCAAAAACUAAUUCAGGUGACCCUUUUCGUUUUUCGUUUUUAGGUAACCCAUCAGGAACCUGUAAAUGAUGAUAUAAAUUCAAUGCGAGAAUGAAAAAUAGGUUACACAAACUAUUCUUGCGCGAACGCCACUAUCAUUCAUGCUGUUUUCUGAGUCCUUGUCUAAUAUAGAUAUAUUGAUACCAGUGAUGUCUGUCUGAGAAUGACAUAUUGUCGACUGAAAAAAGAAAUUAUUUUAAUUUUGAAUUCAGUGAGAGUAAAAGCAAUCAAACUAGUGCUAUUUUAUUUUGUGCCAAAUUCUACACGGAUUUCAUUUAUCAAUGUAUAUAGAGGAUACUCCCCGAGUGUCUUGUGAUAUCGUAAUUUAUCAGCAUGAGUUGAUAAAAGUAUGAAAUCCGAGGCUUGCAAAAAAAUAUAUCAUUGUGCCUUGAUAAUUUGUCAGACAUAUGAUUAUGUAUAAUUACUAGUAUUGUUGAAGAAGGAAGGAAAUGUUUUAUUUAACGGCGCACUCCACACAUUUUAUUUAUGGUUAUAUCAUAUAUGGCGUCUGAUAGUAAUCGAAGUCAGGAUCAUGUAUGUCACAUUGAUUGAUUUAUAUCACAUGGUUUAUAAAGCAUAUUAUAGAUUGAAUAUUUA